GCGCCUGUGGCGGAAUUGGUAGACGCGUUGGACUUAGGAUCCAAUGAUUCAGGUCGUGCAGGUUCGAGUCCUGUCAGGCGCA
This 82-nucleotide transfer RNA is filed under the name Prevotella sp. Its description in RNAcentral is "tRNA-Leu". It matches the Rfam family "tRNA". Rfam says of the family: Transfer RNA (tRNA) molecules are approximately 80 nucleotides in length. Their secondary structure includes four short double-helical elements and three loops (D, anti-codon, and T loops). RNAcentral also lists the same sequence under 1 other name. The record is from RNAcentral. Lineage: Bacteria; Pseudomonadati; Bacteroidota; Bacteroidia; Bacteroidales; Prevotellaceae.